RNAcentral lists this ribosomal RNA (467 nucleotides) under uncultured bacterium. Its description in RNAcentral is "partial 16S ribosomal RNA". It matches the Rfam family "Bacterial small subunit ribosomal RNA", at positions 28 to 507 of the family's 1533-position model. The record is from RNAcentral.
GACGAACGCUGGCGGCGUGCUUAACACAUGCAAGUCGAACGGAAAGGCCUCUUUCGGGGGGUACUCGUGUGGCGAACGGGUGAGUAACUCGUGAGUAACUUACCCUUCUCUAUGGGAUAACUUCAGGCAACUGGGGCUAAUUCCUGCCAGGAGCUCUUGUUGCCUGCAGGGGGCUGGAAAGUUUCGGCGGCUGGCGAUGGACUCGCGGCUUAUCCGCUUGUCGUUGGGGAAGUGGUUUACCAACGCCUUGACGGGUAGCCGGCCUCAAACGGUGAUCGGCCGCCCUGGGACUGAGGUACGGCACAGGCUCCUACGGGUGGGAGAAGUGGGGAAGAUUGCAGAAUGGGUGGAAGCCUGAUGCAGAAAGGCCGUGUGCGGGAAGACGCCCUUCUGGUUGAAAACCGCUUUCGCUCGUGACGAAGCUUUGUGUGACGGUAGUGGGUAAAGAAGCACCGGCUAACUACGUG